UGAGGAAUAUUGGUCAAUGGGCGAGAGCCUGAACCAGCCAAGUAGCGUGCAGGAUGACGGCCCUAUGGGUUGUAAACUGCUUUUAUAUGGGAAUAAAGUGAGGGACGUGUCCCUUAUUGCAUGUACCAUACGAAUAAGGACCGGCUAAUUCCGUGCCAGCAGCCGCGGUAAUACGGAAGGUCCAGGCGUUAUCCGGAUUUAUUGGGUUUAAAGGGAGCGUAGGCUGUUUGUUAAGCGUGUUGUGAAAUGUAAGAGCUCAACUUUUAGAUUGCAGCGCGAACUGGCAGACUUGAGUGCGCACAACGUAGGCGGAAUUCAUGGUGUAGCGGUGAAAUGCUUAGAUAUCAUGACGAACUCCGAUUGCGAAGGCAGCUUACGGGAGUGUUACUGACGCUUAAGCUCGAAGGUGCGGGUAUCGAACAGG
RNAcentral lists this ribosomal RNA (424 nucleotides) under Verrucomicrobiota bacterium. Its description in RNAcentral is "Verrucomicrobia bacterium partial 16S ribosomal RNA". It matches the Rfam family "Bacterial small subunit ribosomal RNA", at positions 355 to 776 of the family's 1533-position model. Lineage: Bacteria; Pseudomonadati; Verrucomicrobiota. The record is from RNAcentral.